UGUGAGAACAUAUUGUCUCCUGUUUCUGAGAGCAAAUUACGCAUCUUGAAUCAGGAUGUCUAAACAUGAAAUAUGAAUAUUAAAUAAUUUUAACCAUUAUUCAUGUCUGUGGAAUGGAUCUAACCCUUUUAAUCACCCAGCGAUGGAGUCCAUACAGCAUCAGUUGCCUGUAAUUCAUAUGAAUUGUGAAACAGAAUGCUAAUGGAAUUUGUGUUAGGAAAACUGUACUUUGGAUUCUUCUUCAAGCAAUGCUUACAUGGAAGAUGUGUGACUACUUCAACCUGCCUUCCUGGAGGAAUCUUUGAAACAGGAACAAUACAACACAAUAUAGGGCCAAGAAAUCAAUGAAAUAUUUUAAGCUAUCUCCCUGGAGCUGUGCAGAAAAACUUCUAGCAUUGUGAAUCAAAGCAGCAGCAGCAGCAAUCUUGGCUACCAUUGAUCUUGAUUCCCAAGCUUUCCUGGACUGGUUUAGAGCAAAAAUGGGCUUGAUGAGAAUCUGAGUCUACAUCUGUUUGUGGAGUUUCUUGAGGACCUAUCCAUGAACUUCAUUACAGAAACCAAGAAAGAGCUCAUAAAAUUAUUGAAAUCUUGAAAUUAUGUAGGUUAAUCUUUAACAUGUGGCUUGUUUCCACGUGACAAGAAGUAUUAAAAUUAAAACCUUAUAAAUAGCUAAAA
Molecule: non-coding RNA, 675 nt
Organism: Ictidomys tridecemlineatus (thirteen-lined ground squirrel)
Lineage: Eukaryota; Metazoa; Chordata; Mammalia; Rodentia; Sciuridae
Source: RefSeq, a predicted model, not a curated record